UUCUUAGGAUUCAAAAAAUUCAACCUUUAUUUUAUUUAUUUAUUUUUUAGUUUAAAGUAAGAUUAUGCUUUCGUUUUGAAUUGCGGGGUGAUUACGUUACGUGCCACGAGAAUGUACGAUAAAAAAAUAUUUUAUUUAUUUAUGUACGUAAUAGUACGUUUCACAUAUCGCAAUGAAUAGAUUACAAUAUAUUUUCUACAAUUUCACAUAAAAAAUACAUAAAUAUAUUUUUAUAUAUUUUUAUUCUGAUUCUAUUUAUAUUGUUGGGUUUGUUUAGUU
This 279-nucleotide long non-coding RNA is filed under the name Ananas comosus (pineapple). Its description in RNAcentral is "long non-coding RNA (ACOM_LNC034958)". Lineage: Eukaryota; Viridiplantae; Streptophyta; Magnoliopsida; Poales; Bromeliaceae. The record is from RNAcentral.